AUACGGAAGGUCCGGGCGUUAUCCGGAUUUAUUGGGUUUAAAGGGAGCGCAGGCGGAGAUGCAAGCGUGACGUCAAAUUUCGGGGCUCAACCCCGUCUCGCGUCGCGAACUGCGUCCCUUGGUUGCGGGAAGGGGAGGCGGAACUCGUGGUGUAGCGGUGAAAUGCAUAGAUAUCACGAAGAACUCCGAUCGCGAAGGCAGCCUUCCGGCCCGUCAACGACGCUCAUGCUCGAAGGUGCGGGUAUCAAACAGGAUUAGAUACCCUGGUAGUCCGCACAGUAAACGAUGGACACCCGCGGUUUGGCCUGUAUGGCUGAGCCGCCAAGCGAAAGCGUUAAGUGUCCCACCUGGGGAGUACGCCGGCAACGGUGAAACUUAAAGGAACUGGCGGG
RNAcentral lists this ribosomal RNA (392 nucleotides) under uncultured bacterium. RNAcentral's name for it is "partial 16S ribosomal RNA". It matches the Rfam family "Bacterial small subunit ribosomal RNA", at positions 523 to 917 of the family's 1533-position model. The record is from RNAcentral.